UACAGAGGGUGCAAGCGUUAAUCGGAAUUACUGGGCGUAAAGCGAGCGUAGGUGGCUUGAUAAGUCAGAUGUGAAAUCCCCGGGCUUAACCUGGGAACUGCAUCUGAUACUGUUAGGCUAGAGUAGGUGAGAGGAAGGUAGAAUUCCAGGUGUAGCGGUGAAAUGCGUAGAGAUCUGGAGGAAUACCGAUGGCGAAGGCAGCCUUCUGGCAUCAUACUGACACUGAGGUUCGAAAGCGUGGGUAGCAAACAGGAUUA
Molecule: ribosomal RNA, 257 nt
Filed under: uncultured prokaryote
Description: partial 16S ribosomal RNA
Rfam family: Bacterial small subunit ribosomal RNA
Source: RNAcentral